CUUCACCGAGCCCAGGUAGAGCGGUUCGGCGCGGUCCUGGCCGUAGGUGGCCAGCAGGGCGCCCGCCUC
RNAcentral lists this antisense RNA (69 nucleotides) under Actinokineospora bangkokensis. Its description in RNAcentral is "ASpks TB sRNA". It matches the Rfam family "ASpks TB sRNA". Lineage: Bacteria; Bacillati; Actinomycetota; Actinomycetes; Pseudonocardiales; Pseudonocardiaceae. The record is from Rfam by way of RNAcentral.